UUGCCCAGACUGGUCUCAAACUCCUGGGCUCCCGAAGUUGUUAGGAUUACAGGAGUGAGCCACCGUGCCUGGACUUUUCCUACCAUUUCAAUGGCUGAAUGUUUUUAAGGGUUCUCUAGACUUCAAAAAUGAAGAGACUGACUUACCUUUCAUGUUCAUUACUGGAUAAGGGUAAAGCACAGACCUUACUUUCAGUCAUUCAUACAGGAAUGAAUGCCAAGACAUCUACCGUGAGUCCAGGUCAUUAUAAGAGUCACUCCCUUUUCAAGGGAGAUUUGUAAUAAUCACUUUAUCUCCAUUCCAUGGUACAGGCUGAUGAGUAGGAAAUCACUGUGACCCAUCCAUGGGAGGAGAAUUACUGGCUGGCAAACACCUUUGAAACUGUUGUAGGGAAUCAAGUGCAGGUCAUAAAAUUGAAAAUCAUUGUCUCUUUUAAAUCCUUAAUCUUUCUCUAAAGUAGGUGGGAUCCAUUUCACUAUCAUUUCUAAAGAAAAACAUGUAAUAAAGGGAAUAUUGCUUUCUGGUAUCUGAUUUUAAAUGCAUCCAUUGUUUAAAAAAAAAGACAUUAAUCUCCUCAAAGGACAGAGAAAAUUUAUAAUCUACAAAUAUGACACUGAAAACCAAAUUAAACUUCAACAGGAACAGCUUUUGUAAUUUAGUCUGCACGAGUUAGGAAGUGAGUUUUCAGAGGAGAGAGAGAACAAUCAGCCACUUUCCUCCUGGAGACCAAAAAUGUGUGAGAAAUUAUGCUGCAAAUUGCAGUGCCUGAGGCUGAAAAAUAGCAGAAAUAACCACUGUAGCCCAAGAAAAUAGUUAAUCAGCUUCUUUUUAGGAAAGCAGGCAUACAUUGUGUGGUUUAUCAUGGCCUAGGAUUGGCCUUCUAAGAUAAGACAUGUAACAUUAAAGCUUUUGUUUUUUGUUGAACUUUAGUCAGCAAGAAACUAUGGUGUUCUAUAUAUAGACGAGGGCACUGAGCCUUCCUGAAUAGAAAACGUAUUUUGAGUUUUUUUUUUUCCAACAGUGGUAAUGGAUUUAAAUUAAUUUGUUCACAGCCUCUGUCCUUUCAGGGACCAAUGAAUGACCCACAUUUCUGAAAUACUGUCUGGGAUUGGGAUGUGAUGAACAAAACCAUAAGACACACAGAGUCUGACCAACAGCCCAUCCCUCCCAGCAUUCUCUAUUUCUGAUGGAGAAACCGGCGGUGGCUUUUCUAUUUGACUUUGUCCCUAGACGCUGGUGGGUGUUCUAGCAUGCUUGGUUGAGCAUGGGUACUAAAAAGGCAGGACACAGAGUCAGCAGGACUGCGCAAGUCCCAGUUGGACCAUUCGCUAACCUAGUCUCUUGGUCUUUGGCUCCUCAUCAGUUAAAUGGAGAAACCUAGGUGCCCACCUCACAGGCAAUUGCGAAAUUAGAAGGCAAUGCUGGUGCAGUGUGCUUCCUGGACAUCAACGCUGAGAGCUGCUGUUUUAACUAGGAGUGCAUGUCAACACCAACAAUUUAUCAUAAAUUAGUCAUUAUAGAUAUUACCCGCUAAUUUAUUAAAAUAUUUCCUUUAGUAUUUUAAUAGUUUUGAUUCACAAAACUUUCUGGACAACGGUUUCUAAGAUCAAAUAAUCAAUAUUUGUGCACUGGAAAAGGGCAGGAUUUCUAUUGAAGGAAACAAACAAACAAAAAAAUCAAAAGCAGAUUCACUUUCUUUUGAAAACACACUUCCUUUUUUGUUUUCAUCUUCUUAGCCUUAAAAAGGUGUUAAUGGUUUGUACGGUCUCAUUUUAACUUUCCUUAAACAAUUAACUUAGGAAAUUGGUUAGACAGUUUCCUUGCCAACCUUAUAGGGAAGGACAGGUCUUGCUCAUAAUGACAUUACUUUGCACUAAAACCACAUCUGUACCUUGGAAUAGCAGUUAAAUCUGAAAAACAACAUGUACGUGUAGCCAAUUAAAGAUGAUAAAUAUAGGCUUUAAAAGCAAAUAACUGACCUAAAGUAAGAGAUUGACAGUGCUGGCUUCCAAGGGGCAAGGACAAAUGUCUAACUGGAAUUGUGUGAGAUGUUGAAGAGAUGAUCAUCACUAUAAGAAGAGAAUCUUUCCCUGGAAACAUAUUUCAUUUAACAAUGUAGGCCAUUUGUUAUGUCAUGAAGAAACACGGAACUUCACAGCAACACUACUUCACAAGCAAAUAACACCUAGGUAUUCAGAGUUUCAUUCUUGCUGAGGCACUGAUUCACAUCUGUGUAUUAUCAGGGAACACCCUAAUUAGCAGGUGAAACAUUACAGACACAAGCCAAUACAAUAAUUAUGUUAGACUGUUAAGGCUAAAAGAAACCCUAGGGAUCAUCUAGUUUAGCAGCCAGAAUUAUUCUUUAGAAUUUCCUGUGACCUUUGAGGCAACAUGAAGAAAAGUAAUUGUCACCAUGAAAUGUAUUUAUCCAAGGAUUAUAAAUUGUAUUACACUCUUUGAAAGGCCUAAAAAUAAUCAUGGGAUAAUAGAAUUCUAGAGCUUGGAGGGAUUUCGGGGUCUACUGAUUUCAAUUUCUUCUGUCUAAUGUAAAAACGAUUCCUUUUUCAAUAUUCUUGACAAUCUCCAGCUAAUAUGUAAAUGCAAAAAGGGGAAAUUAUAAGAAAUAAUAAACUAUUUGUAUGAACUUAUCAAUGUCAUUAUGUUAAAGGAAAGAUUGCUUUGUCAUUCUGUGCCUAUUACAAUGCUUGGCAUGCAGUGAUCAAUGGGUGUUGCUAAGAGUUCAAGACGAUUCUGGAACUUUCCUGCAUCUAGUUGACCAUCCAGAUUGGACUGGCUUAUCCAUGCUAACACAGAUGUACAUCAAAUAUGCCAGCAGAGGGGAAAGCACGAACACAGUCCCCCACUACCACAAAUUAUGCAGUCAAGUUUCCCACAUUUGGGAAAGUCACAGGGGUCAGCACAUACAGAGUGCAAUGAAUAAGCCUGCCUGGGAAAACGACCUUUGUGAUCAUGUAUCUCCACUGCCAGAUAAAGAUGAGGAACAGCCACACACAGAGGGAAGACCACGUGA
Macaca mulatta (Rhesus monkey) is the source of this 3031-nucleotide non-coding RNA. NCBI's taxonomy places the organism in Eukaryota, Metazoa, Chordata, Mammalia, Primates, Cercopithecidae. The record is from RefSeq and is a predicted model, not a curated record.